Chionomys nivalis (European snow vole) is the source of this 262-nucleotide long non-coding RNA. RefSeq lists it as uncharacterized. NCBI's taxonomy places the organism in Eukaryota, Metazoa, Chordata, Mammalia, Rodentia, Cricetidae. The record is from RefSeq and is a predicted model, not a curated record. The transcript is spliced from 3 exons.
CCUUUCUUCCCUCCGGAAGGGAAAAAAAUAAAACGCUGAUCAAAAGAAGAGAAUAAGCAGCGGGUUGUUCUGAAACUGAUAAACAACUUAAAGUCUUUUGGGCUGAGAAGAUGGCUCAGUGGGUCAAGAGCAAUUGCUGUGCAAGCAUGAGGAUUUGAGAUUGAAUCCCUGGAACCAAGGGGGCUGGAGAGAUGUUUUAGCAGUUAAAGCAUGUAUCGCUCUUACAAAGGAUCUUGUUAUGCCAUGUUUGGUUGGUGUCCCU